Xenia sp. Carnegie-2017 is the source of this 769-nucleotide long non-coding RNA. RefSeq lists it as uncharacterized. Lineage: Eukaryota; Metazoa; Cnidaria; Anthozoa; Malacalcyonacea; Xeniidae. The record is from RefSeq and is a predicted model, not a curated record. The transcript is spliced from 2 exons.
CUUAUGCAAGCACAGAAGUGUUUGCACAAAAGUUUGUUGUGUCUCCAGUCUACGCAGGUGCAGUUUGGAAGCGUUUGUUCAUCACCAAAAAGUACGAUAUGGUGCUCCUUCCCUGUUGAACUUUUUACUUCAAAGACCCCUGGGGACACCAUGUGGACCAUGUCUUUGCUAAUGUCACUAUCCCAACGCUUCAUAAUAUGAGACACCAUUCUGGCAGGUCUGUUGUGCAGAAAUUUUGGAAGUUCCUCAUUAUAAGCACGGUAACCUUCGUGACAUUUAACAUUUAGCUCAGCAUAUCUAAAAUUGUAAAAGGAAAACGUCACUCACGAAUAUUAUUACAUCUUAUUAGAAUCCAAAGAUGACUAAAGUCUACAGUAAGUGCCGCUGUAGUUAGCCUAAUCACACCUUUCAAUAAUUUGUUAAUUAAGCAGUUGUUUUUUUCAAAAGAAGGGGCCUGUGUCACACAACAAAAACCCUACGAAAUGAAUUUUUCCUUCAAAACUGGUAUUUGGGAGAAACCGAUCAACAAGUGCUGUCAGCAUAUCACUUAAGGAGCACCCUUUAUUCCCAUGGAGGUACUCAUAUUUGAAUGCCUUAUUCUGUCUUUCAAUGCCAUUGUUCGUGUUCACUGCACAAAUGAAAUCUCCUGUCCGAUACGCUUGACACCAUCUCUGUAAGAAAACGAUCAAUACAGUAUAUUUUGCAUGUUCUGCUAGUACAUAGUAUUUUAUUUGAGAUUAUGAAAUAAUACAACGAUAUAAGCCCUGGA